GAUGAACGCUGGCGGCGUGCUUAACACAUGCAAGUCGAACGAGAAGUGAAGACGGAACCCCUCGGGCGGAAGGCUUUAGUUCGAGUGGCGGCCGGGGGAGUAACGCGUUGGUAACCUGCCUCAUCCAGGGGGAUAACAGUUGGAAACGACUGUUAAUACCGCAUAAGACCACAGCACCGCAUGGUGCGGGGUUAAAACCCCGGUUAGAUGGGUGGGACCCGCGUUCGAUUAGCCAGUUGGCAGGGGAACGGCCCACCAAAGCGACGAUCGAUAGCCGAUCUGAGAGGAUGACCGGCCACAUUGGGACUGAGACACGGCCCAAACUCCUACGGGAGGCAGCAGUGGGGAAUAUUGCACAAUGGGGGAAACCCUGAUGCAGCGACGCCGCGUGAGUGAAGAAGUAUUUCGGUAUGUAAAGCUCUAUCAGCAGGGAAGAAAAUGACGGUACCUGAGUAAGAAGCCCCGGCUAACUACGUG
RNAcentral lists this ribosomal RNA (477 nucleotides) under uncultured bacterium. RNAcentral's name for it is "partial 16S ribosomal RNA". It matches the Rfam family "Bacterial small subunit ribosomal RNA", at positions 28 to 507 of the family's 1533-position model. The record is from RNAcentral.